AUUGAACGCUGGCGGCAGGCCUAACACAUGCAAGUAGAACGAGUGGCGGACGGGUGAGUAAUGUCUGGGAAACUGCCUGAUGGAGGGGGAUAACUACUGGAAACGGUAGCUAAUACCGCAUACCAUAAGAUGUGCCCAGAUGGGAUGAGCGAGUUGGUGGGGUAACGGCUCAACAAGGCGACGAGCCCUAGCUGGUCUGAGAGGAUGACCAUACACACUGGAACUGAGCCACGGUCCAGACUCCUACGUGAGGCAGCAGUGGGGAAUAUUGCACAAUGGGCGCAAGCCUGAUGCAGCAAUGCCGCGUGUAUUAAGAAGUCCUUCGGGUUGUAAAGUACGUUCAGCGGGGAGGCGUUACCCGCAGAAGAAGCACCGGCUAACUCCGUGCCAGCAGCCGCGGUAAUUC
RNAcentral lists this ribosomal RNA (406 nucleotides) under uncultured bacterium. RNAcentral's name for it is "partial 16S ribosomal RNA". It matches the Rfam family "Bacterial small subunit ribosomal RNA", at positions 30 to 526 of the family's 1533-position model. The record is from RNAcentral.